GUCUAGAGCCAUACCACCUAGAAUGCCCUGAUCUGGUCUGAUCUUGGAAGCUAAGCAGGGUCGGGCCUGGUUAGUAGUUGGAUGGGAAACUAAGUACAGAUAAAAGCUGAGCUAGGAG
RNAcentral lists this ribosomal RNA (118 nucleotides) under Prolemur simus (greater bamboo lemur). Lineage: Eukaryota; Metazoa; Chordata; Mammalia; Primates; Lemuridae. The record is from RNAcentral.